ACUUAGUGGCAGACGGGUGAGUAACAUGUGGGUAUCUACCCUUUGGCCUGGAAUAACACGAGGAAACUUGUGCUAAUACCGGAUAAGUCUUUACGGAGAAAGCUUUAUGCACCAUUGGAUGAGCCCGCACUUGAUUAGUUUGUUGGUAGGGUAAUGGCCUACCAAGACUAUGAUCAAUAGCUGAUUUGAGAGGAUGAUCAGCCACAUUGGGACUGAGACACGGCCCAAACUCCUACGGGAGGCAGCAGUGGGGAAUCUUGCACAAUGGAGGAAACUCUGAUGCAGCGAUGCCGCGUGAGUGAAGAAGGCCUUUGGGUUGUAAAGCUCUUUCGUCGGGGAAGAAAAUGACUGUACCCGAAUAAGAAGGUCCGGCUAACUUCGUGCCAGCAGCCGCGGUAAUACGAAGGGACCUAGCGUAGUUCGGAAUUACUGGGCUUAAAGAGUUCGUAGGUGGUUGAAAAAGUUAGUGGUGAAAUCCCAGAGCUUAACUCUGGAACUGCCAUUAAAACUUUUCAGCUAGAGUAUGAU
RNAcentral lists this ribosomal RNA (528 nucleotides) under uncultured Pelagibacterales bacterium. Its description in RNAcentral is "bacterial SSU rRNA". It matches the Rfam family "Bacterial small subunit ribosomal RNA", at positions 90 to 652 of the family's 1533-position model. Lineage: Bacteria; Pseudomonadati; Pseudomonadota; Alphaproteobacteria; Candidatus Pelagibacterales. The record is from RNAcentral.